AGCAGCCAAAAGAAAAAUGAGAAUAGUCUAGGCUGAUUAAUGUAACAUGACUACGCCUAGCAUCCACUGCUUCCUCCAAGUUUGUAUAAUCAUCAGCUCAAGUACUCCAAAAAUAAGAAAUAGUAAGGAAGUGGGGUGUGCUUCUUUGCAUCAGGGACCAGAAAUUACCAGUGAAGAACAUGUUUCACUGGCAGUACUCUUAUAAUGCUAACACCUGAUGUCACAUCACACUGACGUGCAAUUCCACUGGGUUUUACAUGAAGACACUUAACUUAUUAAUGCCAUCAGGAGAUUCUCUAAGAGUGUAAGCUGUGGAGAAGCCAACUGCUCUGUGUCACUAGAUGGUCUGUAUUGAGAUUUCUAGAAUGGCGAAAUCAUAAGUCAGAUAAAAAAAAAACCCUUAGGCAAAAUGCUUAACUCUGGUCCUUGCUGAAAAAUCACUGAGAAUGAAUCUUUAAAAGCAUUGAGAAAUCAUUUGUAGUAGGGAGGGGGUUGUAUUGAUGAUCAGUAAGGCUUCUUUCCACUCUUAAUUUCUGAUCUCAUGAUAUAAAUAUGAAAUGAGCUCAUCUAUGGAAAAUAGCAUUUUCUAUACAAAUGAAAGCUAUUAUUGUUACAGGAUAACUUUUUUUUUUAAAACCCUUAUCUUCUGUCUUGGAGUCAAUACUAUGUAUUGACUCCAAGGCAGAAGAGUGGUAAGGGCUAGGCAAUGGGGGUCAAGUGACUUGUCCAGGGUCACACAGCUGGGAAGUGUCUAAGGUGUAAAGAUUAAAAUUUAAGGGAGACUAAGGCAGGUAGAAAUUAGUUUCUCUCUGCAAGGAGUAUUAUAUUUUUUAGAGGUUUAUUAAAGGUUAAGCAUUUAAGUAUAUACAAGUAAGAAAAGGCACGUGCCAGGUGGGCCAUGAGGCCCACCCAAAAUUUCACUCACAUCAUGAGACUUGUCUGUUUGCCAGCGGAGACAGAAAGUAAGAGAGCCCCGCCUAUGGGGAAGACCCUUUAAAUAAAAUUUUGCUCUCGUCCCA
Molecule: long non-coding RNA, 1019 nt
Organism: Monodelphis domestica (gray short-tailed opossum)
Lineage: Eukaryota; Metazoa; Chordata; Mammalia; Didelphimorphia; Didelphidae
Source: Ensembl